RNAcentral lists this transfer RNA (93 nucleotides) under Microbispora amethystogenes. RNAcentral's name for it is "tRNA-Arg". The record is from RNAcentral. Lineage: Bacteria; Bacillati; Actinomycetota; Actinomycetes; Streptosporangiales; Streptosporangiaceae.
UCGCCGCCCGGCGAGACGGCCACGCCGCCGGACCCCGGGUCCGGCGACGACCCCGGCUCAGGCGGUCCGGGUUCCGGCGGCCCGGGCGGCUCG